RNAcentral lists this ribosomal RNA (500 nucleotides) under uncultured bacterium. RNAcentral describes it as "partial 16S ribosomal RNA". It matches the Rfam family "Bacterial small subunit ribosomal RNA", at positions 30 to 523 of the family's 1533-position model. The record is from RNAcentral.
AUUGAACGCUGGCGGAAUGCUUUACACAUGCAAGUCGAACGGCAGCACGGACUUCGGUCUGGUGGCGAGUGGCGAACGGGUGAGUAAUGUAUCGGAACGUGCCCAGUCGAGGGGGAUAACGUAGUGAAAAUUACGCUAAUACCGCAUACGAUCUAUGGAUGAAAGCGGGGGAUCGCAAGACCUCGCGCGAUUGGAGCGGCCGAUAUCAGAUUAGGUAGUUGGUGGGGUAAAGGCCCACCAAGCCAACGAUCUGUAGCUGGUCUGAGAGGACGGCCAGCCACACUGGAACUGCGACACGGUCCAGACUCCUACGGGAGGCAGCAGUGGGGAAUUAUGGACAAUGGGCGAAAGCCGGAUCCAGCCACUCCGCGUGCAGGAUGAAGGCCCUCGGGUUGUAAACUGCUUUUGUACAGAACGAAAAGGUUUCUACUAAUACUAGGAGCUCAUGACGGUACUGUAAGAAUAAGCACCGGCUAACUACGUGCCAGCCGCCGCAGUAA